Molecule: ribosomal RNA, 253 nt
Filed under: uncultured bacterium
Lineage: Bacteria
Description: partial 16S ribosomal RNA
Rfam family: Bacterial small subunit ribosomal RNA
Source: RNAcentral
UACGUAGGGUGCAAGCGUUAAUCGGAAUUACUGGGCGUAAAGCGUGCGCAGGCGGUGAUGUAAGACAGGUGUGAAAUCCCCGGGCUUAACCUGGGAACUGCAUUUGUGACUGCAUCGCUGGAGUGCGGCAGAGGGGGAUGGAAUUCCGCGUGUAGCAGUGAAAUGCGUAGAUAUGCGGAGGAACACCGAUGGCGAAGGCAAUCCCCUGGGCCUGCACUGACGCUGAUGCGCGAAAGCCAGGGGAGCGAACGGG